UGCCGCUUCACGUCUUCUCAUCCCCAGCAUGCGCUUUUCCUCCUCAGGAUCGCUAUCAUAUUCAACGUCCUCUUCACCCACCUUCGCCAUUAAAACCAAAACUAUAAUAAAACUUUCACCCAAAGAAAGCCAAUUUAGAGACAAUUAAAAGCCAAACAAAACUAGCCUAAAACCCUGAAACUCCCAAAAAUUUCUCAGAGAUCAAACACCAACUGUAGAAGCACCAGGUCAAUU
This 234-nucleotide unclassified non-coding RNA is filed under the name Hevea brasiliensis (rubber tree). The record is from RNAcentral. Lineage: Eukaryota; Viridiplantae; Streptophyta; Magnoliopsida; Malpighiales; Euphorbiaceae.